RNAcentral lists this long non-coding RNA (372 nucleotides) under Gossypium raimondii (Peruvian cotton). RNAcentral describes it as "long non-coding RNA (GRAI_LNC001620)". Lineage: Eukaryota; Viridiplantae; Streptophyta; Magnoliopsida; Malvales; Malvaceae. The record is from RNAcentral.
GUUUUCAUGGAAGACCUACAGAGAAAAUAGAUAGCAGAAGAAAGAAAGUUUUUUUUAGAAACUGCUAUCGUUGGAAACGCUGGGACAGUGAUGUGAAGAGACAAUAGAUUUUGGAGUCCAGCUGUUGAUGUUGACUAGAUUAGGGAUUAGGUUUCUUUUUAUUUAUUUUAUUUUGUUUUUUGGGCCAUUUUUCCGUUGUUGCAACAUUGGGCUGCUCUUUGCAUUUUGUUUUCAUUAUUUUUUCUUUUGGGUUUAAAUCCAGUGAUUCUAGGAACUAUUUUAAAUUUGUUUUUUGGUUUGUUUUUAUGCUUUAAUAAAUAUCCAGUCGAUUUAUUCAAAAAAAUAUUAUUUUAAUUAACAUCACUAAGAAAC